AGAACAACACAACCAAGUGUGUUCGUUUGGCAAGAUCAUGAAUUACUUCCUCUAUGCAUUGUUAAACGUUGAAUGCGAAAUUGAAAUUAAUUACUUUUAUCAGAAUUUUAUUUUCUAGUAAAAACAAACAAUUUCAAAAGAAAAUUGAUUAGGCAGACGAAAUGACCAAUGUGAGAUGUAGAUAGGUCUUUCAAUUUACAAAAAAGAAUUAAUAACUAAUGUAUUAUGCGAAGAUGAAGAGCAAGGAGAUGAAGCUAUAUAUAUCUUGUGCGGCAGCUUGAGCCUUGAGGAGUAUCUGUAUCACAAGUGCCCAAUCACAGUACCCUCAUUCUCUUCUGAGGGACUCUGCCACCAUUUUGUCUCAGUCUCACUCCCCGAAUAAGAGAAAGCUGAGUCGAGGGUGUUUUUGCACGCAUGCCUUCCAUGGUUUUUGGUAAGUGCCCACUGAAAUCCAAGAGUAGAAAUUGUGCGCACAGACAAAGAUAUAUUGAGAGGGAAAGGAAUGAUAUAGUAUUUACCAAUGAAAGAAACAAAUAAGCCACCCUGUAAUUGUUUUUCCCAAUUCAAUAAAAUAAGAUGCUAAUUUAUUGCAAAGUUGGA
RNAcentral lists this long non-coding RNA (600 nucleotides) under Glycine max (soybean). RNAcentral describes it as "long non-coding RNA (GMAX_LNC001125)". Lineage: Eukaryota; Viridiplantae; Streptophyta; Magnoliopsida; Fabales; Fabaceae. The record is from RNAcentral.